UUUAGGAGAAAAAUACAAGCUAGAUUAGUAUUAGUUAUGUACUUUAAAAUUAAAAAAUUUGGCGGUGAUUUAAUCUUUUCAGAGGAAUUUGUUUUUUAAUCGAUAAUCCACGAAAAAUCUUACUUACUUUUGUUUAUAUAGUUAAUCAGUUUGUAUACCAUCAUUAUCAGAUAAUUCUUAAAAGAAAAAUUAUUAAAUAUAAAUAAUUAUUAAAAUUAGAUCAUGGUGCAGCUUAUAAGUAAGUUAAAAUGAAUUACAAUAAAUUAUUUUAUAAUGGAUUAAUAAGAUAAAUAUUAUUAUGAAGGAGGAUUUGAUAGUAUUAUAAUUUUAAUAAGAUUAUAAGACAGCAGCUCUAAAUCAUGUACAUAUCGCCCGUCGCUUUCAUUUAUAAUGAAGUAAGUCGUAACAUA
This 410-nucleotide ribosomal RNA is filed under the name Neosarmatium smithi. RNAcentral's name for it is "partial 12S ribosomal RNA". The record is from RNAcentral. Lineage: Eukaryota; Metazoa; Arthropoda; Malacostraca; Decapoda; Sesarmidae.